GAGAGGACCGGGAUGGACGUACCUCUGGUGUACCAGUUGUUCUGCCAAGGGCAUGGCUGGGUAGCUAUGUACGGAAUGGAUAAGCGCUGAAAGCAUCUAAGCGCGAAGCCAACUUCAAGAUAAGAUUUCCCACCGCAAGGGUAAGACUCCAGAAAGACUAUCUGGUUGAUAGGUCGAAGGUGUAAGUGCAGCAAUGUAUUUAGCUUAUCGAUACUAAUAGGUCGAGGACUUGACCAAU
This 238-nucleotide ribosomal RNA is filed under the name Clostridioides difficile. Its description in RNAcentral is "partial 23S ribosomal RNA". It matches the Rfam family "Bacterial large subunit ribosomal RNA", at positions 2685 to 2925 of the family's 2925-position model. Lineage: Bacteria; Bacillati; Bacillota; Clostridia; Peptostreptococcales; Peptostreptococcaceae. The record is from RNAcentral.